UACGGAGGGGGCGAGCGUUAUUCGGAAUCAUUGGGCGUAAAGGGCGCGUAGGCGGGCUCACAAGUCAGGGGUGAAAUCCCACGGCUCAACCGUGGAAGUGCCUUUGAUACUGUGGGUCUUGAGGGAGGUAGGGGCGUGCGGAACUUCCGGUGGAGCGGUGAAAUGCGUAGAUAUCGGAAGGAACACCGGUGGCGAAAGCGGCGCGCUGGACCUCUUCUGACGCUGAGGCGCGAAAGCCAGGGGAGCAAACGGG
This 253-nucleotide ribosomal RNA is filed under the name uncultured bacterium. RNAcentral's name for it is "partial 16S ribosomal RNA". It matches the Rfam family "Bacterial small subunit ribosomal RNA", at positions 524 to 776 of the family's 1533-position model. The record is from RNAcentral.